CCGUAACUAUAACGGUCCUAAGGUAGCGAAAUUCCUUGUCGGGUAAGUUCCGACCCGCACGAAAGGCGUAAUGAUUUGAGCACUGUCUCGACAAUGCAUCCGGUGAAAUUGAAGUACCAGUGAAGAUGCUGGUUACCCGCGCCAGGACGGAAAGACCCCAUGGAGCUUUACUCCAGUUUGAUACUGGGAUUCGGUACUGCAUGUACAGGAUAGGUGGGAGACGAAGAAGGAUGGACGCCAGUCUGUCCGGAGUCGCUGUUGGGAUACCACCCCUGUAGUACUGGGUUUCUAACCAGUUGCCAUGAACUGGCAAUGGGACAAUGUCAGGCGGGGAGUUUGACUGGGGCGGUCGCCUCCGAAAGGGUAUCGGAGGCGCUCAAAGGUUCCCUCAGAAUGGUCGGAAACCAUUCGAAGAGUGCAAAGGCAGAAGGGAGCUUGACUGCGACACCGACGGGUGGAGCAGGUACGAAAGUAGGACUUAGUGAUCCGGUGGUAUAAAGUGGGAUUGCCAUCGCUCAACGGAUAAAAGCUACCCUGGGGAUAACAGGCUUAUCACUCCCAAGAGUUCACAUCGACGGAGUGGUUUGGCACCUCGAUGUCGGCUCAUCGCAUCCUGGGGCUGUAGUAGGUCCCAAGGGUUGGGCUGUUCGCCCAUUAAAGCGGUACGCGAGCUGGGUUCAGAACGUCGUGAGACAGUUCGGUCCCUAUCCGGCGUGGGCGUAGGAUAUUUGAGAGGAGCUGUCCUUAGUACGAGAGGACCGGGAUGGACUGACCUCUGGUGUACCGGUUGAACCGCCAGGUUCACGGCCGGGUAGCCAAGUCGGGAAGGGAUAAACGCUGAAGGCAUCUAAGCGUGAAGCCCCCCUCAAGAUGAGAUAUCCCUACGUAAGUAGUAAGACCCCUUGAAGACGACGAGGUAGAUAGGGCAGAGGUGGAAGUGCAGUAAUGCAUGGAGCUGACUGUUACUAAUAGGUCGAGGGCUUAAUCUG
This 989-nucleotide ribosomal RNA is filed under the name human gut metagenome. RNAcentral's name for it is "bacterial LSU rRNA". It matches the Rfam family "Bacterial large subunit ribosomal RNA", at positions 1934 to 2925 of the family's 2925-position model. The record is from RNAcentral.